UACGUAGGGGGCAAGCGUUGUCCGGAUUCAUUGGGCGUAAAGAGCGUGUAGGCGGCCAGGUAGGUCGGUUGUGAAAACUGGAGGCUUAACCUCGAGACGUCGGUGGAAACUGCCUGGCUAGAGUCCGGAAGAGGAGAGUGGAAUUCCUGGUGUAGCGGUGAAAUGCGCAGAUAUCAGGAAGAACACCCGUGGCUAAGGCGGCUCUCUAGUACGGUACUGACGCUGAGACGCGAAAGCGUGGGGAGCGAACAGG
This 253-nucleotide ribosomal RNA is filed under the name uncultured bacterium. RNAcentral's name for it is "partial 16S ribosomal RNA". It matches the Rfam family "Bacterial small subunit ribosomal RNA", at positions 524 to 776 of the family's 1533-position model. The record is from RNAcentral.